This is an RNA transcript of Dromaius novaehollandiae (emu), 11342 nucleotides long. It is a transcript of the gene named EPM2A glucan phosphatase, laforin, with no coding region annotated. The transcript has 5 exons. The record is from RefSeq and is a predicted model, not a curated record. NCBI's taxonomy places the organism in Eukaryota, Metazoa, Chordata, Aves, Casuariiformes, Dromaiidae.
CCCGCCGGAAGUGAGGCCGCGGCGGGGCCUCCCUAGCGGCCACGCGGCUGUAACGAGCCCGCUGCCCCCCGCACGCCGACAGCCCCACGGCGCCGCGGCCUGGGGCGCCCGCGCCGCCCCCAUGCUCUUCCGCUUCGGCGUGGUGCUGCCUGCCCGCGUGACGGCGGCGGGCGCUGUGCUCUGCGUGGGCGGCUCGCGGCCGGAGCUGGGCCAGUGGGACCCGCAGCGCGCCGUGCCCAUGGCGCCGGCGCGGCCCGCCGCGGCGCUGCCAGCGCAGGAGCCGGCGCUGUGGCUGGCGGAGGUGGUGCUGUCGGACGAGGACGCCUGCGGCCCCUUCUGGUACAAGUUCCUCAGGCGGCAGGGCGGCGACGUCGUCUGGGAAGGUAACGGACCCCAUCAUGAUCGAAGUAGUGUUUAUGACCGGAACAACGUAGUAGAUGGAGUUUACUGCCUCCCAAUAUCACACUGGAUUGAAGUCUCUGGACAUACUGAUGAGAUGAAACAUACAACUGACUUCUAUUUUAAUAUUGCAGGACAUCAAGCUAUCCAUUACUCCAGAAUUCUGCCAAACAUCUGGCUGGGAAGUUGCCCUCGGCAGGUGGAGCAUGUGACUGUCAAGCUAAAACACGAGUUGGGUAUUACAGCUAUAAUGAACUUCCAGACCGAAUGGGAUAUUGUGCAGAAUUCCUGGGGUUGCAACCGCUACCCAGAACCCAUGAGCCCUGAAAUCCUCAUGAAACUAUAUAAAGAGGAAGGUCUUGCCUAUGUCUGGAUGCCAACCCCAGACAUGAGCACUGAAGGAAGAAUGCAGAUGUUGCCCCAAGCUGUCUGCCUCUUGCAUGGGCUACUUGAGAAUGGACACACUGUUUACGUUCAUUGCAACGCUGGUGUUGGCAGGUCGACAGCUGCUGUCUGUGGCUGGCUGAAGUACGUGAUGGGAUGGAGCCUGCGGAAAGUGCAGUACUUUGUGGCUUCCAGGAGAGCAGCUGUUUACAUAGAUGAGGAAGCUCUGAUUCGUGCUGAAGAUGAUUUCUACCAGAAAUUUGGACAUCUUCAUUCCUCAUGCAAACUUCAAAACUAGAAAAGCAGAAGAGGAGAAGGGAAGUGAAGAGGGAUCUUUACAUGUCAACCCCAAGGAUUUAGAAUUCAUGAGUCAGACUCCUGUCUCUCCUGUUCAGAUUACAGGCUUGUCUUAAAUGCCUUGAGAAUUUUACUAAAAAAUGCCUCUGAGUGUUUUUUUAUUUGCCUUUUUUAAGCUGGUAUGAUUCAUGCUUUCAAGCCUUUUGCUGCAAGUAUGAAAGGUGGAGACUCUGAGACAAAGAUUCUCAUGUAAUUGUUUGCCUAUAGGAACUGAGCUUUUAGGGUAGACACUAAAUAAGAGAAGACUUGAGAGAAAAAUGAAAGUUGGCAAUAUUGCAGUGACAAGAAAGUGAAGGCGCUCCCUGAAACACAGAUACAAAGGUUGACUGGAUCAACAUUCAGGUUAGGAGGGAGCUGAUAGUCAAAGCUGCUCAGUUUUGACAGGUUGUUGCCAAGGAAAUCUAGGAAGACGGGGCACAGCAAAGAUGUGUGGGUAUAAAAUGGACACGGCACCUCUGGUAUCUCUGAGGAACAAAAGAAGGGGUUGUUUCUCCUAGUUGGACAUGCAAACCAGAGGAAGUGUGUCAGUGCUGCUCUCUGGCUGCUGGGCUCUUGGGUAAGUGUUCAGAGUUACAGCUGAUCUCCCAGGAACACCCAAGAGUUACUCCAUUUUGACUGAAUUUAAAGCAAAAAUGGUAAGCUUGUGCUACAGUGUGCCUCAAAAAGCAAGCACUGAGAUGAGGAGGAUGGCAUAAGGAGGAUGGCAUAAGAAGAAAGUAGAACUCGCAUAAAUUUUGCAGUUCUGUUGAGAUAUAUUUGAAACCCCAAGUUUAAAAUGUGUUUGAAAGCAUCUCUGAUAGCCCUUUCUGUCAGAUGCAGCUAGUAAUAUAUGUUGGGACAGGUACUUCUGGUUUUGGUCCUUACAUUGUAGUUGUUUCAGUGCUAACGGUAUCUCUUUUUCAGGGCUCUUGGGACUGAGCAGUGCGUAACACGACACGAGUAAGUAUGUGACUGAGUAAGCACAGCUGUGCCAUAACAGCUAUUCCCUAAUUCUGAUCUUAUUGGCAACAGAAGCCGACUGUUGCUCCAUCUCUUGUAGGGCAGGAAUUCAAAUGAUGUAGAAGCCACACAUCCAAGGGAGCCUUAGCACAGGGUCGUUACUUCACUGUUUAUUGUCAUUUUGGUUUCCUCAUCUGCUAGGCUGCUGAGGGCUUUAUCAUAUAUAGAUUGUAUUAGCUGAUGACAUGCAUGAAAAAAAACUUGCCAACAACACGUUAGCAAAGAAUGCAAAGACUUCCCAUGGCUCGUGGUACCUUUGUACCUAUUUGUAGUAUAUGUAUUUUUUUCAUUGCCACCUUCUUGCCUUCCUCAUUGAAGGCUGCCCUGUCAAUUAACAUUCAUUCAAAGCCCUAUCUGUGGAAUACAGCUAGAAAGCACCAGGAAUUUAAAUGCUAAAGAAAUUAUUGCAAGAGGCUAGGCAAUAGAAAAAGCAACCACAUAAAAAUAUUCCAUUUUUAUGACUGUAUAAUUACAUGAGAAGUCUGCAUCUAAAGCUCAUCUAUUAGUAUUCUAAUUUGUAAUAUUUUCUUAUGCUGCUGGGAUCAUUAGCUGUUUCCACAUACUAGGCUAUUUAUGCAAUUUUGGCAAAAGGAUGAAGACAUUUUUGUGCUUUAUAUCCUUGUAUAUUUCCUUGCUAGUCUAGUCAUAAAAAUGCUAUGAUAUUUAGAGCAGAAUAAGGCCUAUAGAGAGAAUUAGAAACAGAUGAAUAGUAGCAGUUAUUUUAAAGUGUACCCAAGAAGUCAAAUUAAUACACACACCCACUAAGGGAAACCAAAUGCAAAUAUUUUGAUAACCUAUCAUUGAAAAGUAUCAGGUGGGGGAAAUUGUUUUCUGUUAGUAAGAGCAUAGUGGUAUUCCCUGCCUGUGAUAGCAGGUUUUUACCUUUGUUAAACUGCAGAAGAAAAUAGAAUUUACUAAUUAGAAUGAGACCAUUCAUAAUUCCAUUUAGAAUAUCUCAAUGUCAUUAUGAGGCCAAACAAUAAAAUAUAUUCUUUCCCAAGGCUACACACUGGAGCUAAGCAUUCUUAGCUCUUAAGCAUAAUUUUGUAACAAACAUCCCUGCAUGGGAUGGGUUGGGAUUUGAGCAGUGUGGUUUCAUGAGUGUUUUUCCUUUUGACAUCAGAAAGUGGCUAAUGAAAAUCACCUGAGUGAGAUUUUUAGGUAGGCAGUGCAGUGUGGUGGAAAGGAGACUGGGCUGGCUGGCAGGAUUGGUAGAUACUUUUUUUCUCUUACUCCGUAUUUGUUAUUUCAUGCUUUGGCUUUUGGUCCCUUUGACACUUGUUGUCUGCCCUAGUUGCAUAUGUUGUAAGCUUUCAGUGUUCCCUUUCUGUUUGCACACCACCAUGCACAGUGGAGCUCUGGAUGUGGUUGGGACUGCAGGUGUGGUAACAGUAUAUAACAGUUUUUUUAAAAUCUCAUACCUGUGAACUGAGUUCCAUGUGCUGCACAGAACAAUACAGAAGACAUUGUCUCUGCUUUGGGGUGGAAUUACAAUUUGAGACUGCCAGCCAACCCUCUUUGGGCAAAGAUACCUAAAGGGAAAAGCUAAGCUAUGGGUUGUGCAGGAACAAGUAAUGAAACUCCUGUUUAAAACAAGAACACACAACACACCAGAAAAUGUACAUUAGGAAAUAAAGUCUUUCUGGCAAAAAGUCGGACUUACUCCAUUAUAUACUGCAAUGGACUUUUUCAGUUCUAGUUUAUAGAUUACAUACUGACUUUACUGGACUGCAAGUGAUAAGAAAAUUUUGGUUUGACAUAGUCAAAGAAACAUGCCAUAACUUCAUGACCUCUUUUUUAAUUCUUCCUCAUUAAAUUGCAGUGAGAGGUUUCAAUGGUAGACUUAAAAAAGAAACCAAACUUAAUAUGAUUCAUUUAAAAAAGGUACACUGGGACUGUGCAAUGGGAAAUUGUGAAGAAAUCUUUAGGAGUGUAAUAGCUACUAAGAAAGCCUAUAUUUGGCAAGUAAGUCCUAACCUCUUAAAUUAUAAUGGACAUGAAGCUGCCAUUAGCUAAAAUGGAAUUGGAUUAAUAUAACAGAGGACAGGAUUUAGAUGACUGUCACUAACACUAAAUGUUUACAUUCUCAGAGUUAAGUUAAUGUCUCUGCAGUUAUUUCUUUAAAAAUAUCCCACUCUCAAAAUUUUAUUUUCUACAUGUAUAUAGCUUAAAGGGAAAGGGGCUGUUCCAAGGGAGCAGUCUUUCAAAGAGUGGAAGUAUAAAGGAAUUAAUCCUUUUUCUCAUGGCCAGUGACACAAUGACAUCAGCAGCAGCAAGAUCAAACCAUAUUACUUCAUAACUAACCUUCUUGCUAAAUUAACAAAGGAAAAGAAAUUUUUCAAGGGCAAUGACAUUUCCACAUAUUAGCAUAAUUGCCUAGUUCUGACAUAAGCAACUAAAAUACAUGUUGGCCCUUCAGUUAUACUAACAUUGCACCUAUAGGGUGUUCAUUCUUAAUUAGAUAUUUUUUCCUCUUGCUCAGGUCUUUCACCCCAAGAUACUUCAUUCCAGUCUUGCCUAGUUUAGGAAGGGUUUGUAGCUAAACACUGUCAUAUUUGUAAAGAUAAACUAGUGAGUAUUCUAUUAACCCUUUCUUACAUAUCAAAACUUGUCUCAGGAUAAAGAAAUAAGAACUAUCAUACCCGGUAAAAUGAGAAGGGUAACGUUAUAAACUUGAGUACUAUAUUACUCAACCUUUUUGUGCUUAAAACAUAUUGUCUUAACUGGGAGAUCUGAGUUUACAAAGACUGCGGGGUAAUGUCUGUGAUUUGAUAAUUACUUCAGUGCUGAUGUUAUAUUUACAUCAAGGAAAAUAGAAGGCCUAUUUAUUCAUGAGCUGGUGAAAUAGUAAGUAUCUCAUUCUUGAUUUAGAUGAUGUGAGGAAACAGCAUAAAAAAGCUGCCAAGAAAAAUUUUCUAAUGCUGGGCAGGUUUCUGUGGUCUUUACUUAAUGCCAUUAUAACAAAUUUGUUUUCUGGUAAUGCAGUUUCAGCAGGGAAAUAAUUAACAUUCAGGCUGCCAUCCAAGAGAAGCAGCCAUGUUUGAAUUGGACAGUGAGCCCAAAGUCACUGCAACAAAUCAAAUGCCGAAAAUGAAUACAAUCUGAAAACUCAAUAAAAUAUAUAAACAUAGAGAUUAAGGAAUGAGUAUAAGGAUUGUAUUUGGAAAAAGGAAGAAAUACAUAAAUAAACAAUAAAAUCAUAGCUAAUGCCAAAGGGAAAAGUAUUUUGGAGUGAGAUAGCAAACACCACAACUCACUUGAAAAGAUAAUCAGUAUGUUAGAUUAAAAUAUGGCAAUUAUUUAAAGUUCACUAACCAGUUAAAGGGAUGCUACCAAACUAUUUAGGUUUAAAAUGCAGCUACAAUGUUUAAUGGUAUAAAGAAAGAAAUAUGGAGGGAUAAGUUCUCAAGAACAUAGACCAGCUUUACACCCUGUAUUGGGCAAGCAACUCAUGGAGUGAACUUUAGCAGGAGGUGCUUUAAGAGCACAAAACUGGCUGUCAGUGCACUGUGGUUUGGCAGUCAAAUAAGUCCCUUGCAUAUAGGCUGUGUUUUGAAGUAGGAUCAAUGAGACUUUGCUUUAGAAGAAGUAAUGGGAAGGACAGCUCUUAAAAUGUGCUUAAAUGACAACCCCAAAUGGAAGUCUAGACAAACAUAUGUCCCUAUGGAGUCUUUACCAUCAGACAGAAAUAUAAGAUGUAUCUUGCUGCAAAAGCAUAGCCUCUUAGCACUUUUUUUCUAUGCAACACCUGUGCUUAAAGGCAGACCCCCAGAACUGAAAAAAUUGAAUUGUGAGUAAUAGUGGCUCUGACACCAGUUAGUUAAUUGUUGAAUGCCAUCACUCAGAUCAUCACCAAGUUUGGCAGAGCUGGCCAAAUUCAGAGGAAUGAUGGUGUGUGGGUGUCCAAGGUGCUCCAAUGAGAGCUAAACUCGAUCUUGCAGAAGCUUUAGAUGACCCAGUGGGAUCCAGCCAGGAGGAGGGUGGCCUGGAAAACACAAGACAGGUCCUGCACCCAACUCUGUCACUGACUCUGCAGGUGAAAUGGAUUAAAUCAUUUCCUCUCACUUUACCUGAGUUAUUCUGUCUCUUAAAAUUAUGUUAAUGAUACUUAAAUCAGUCUGCAGUCAGCAAUUGACCGGAUGGGACAAUUGUUAUUCUCGAUGUCUCCCCCCACAAUGACUGUGUGGGUGCCAGUGAGAAGUUCUGUAGGUAUUAUCUCAGGUACUUUGCAACUCUAUGUUAAUAUGGUCUAAAUGAUCAGUUCAAAUUUCACAUGGAGUUACUUGUCCAUGUUCCAAACUUUCUUGGGUGUGUGUGUGUGUGUGUUGCAGUAUGAUGGCAGUCACAGGCAACAUAUGGUCUAGUUCUAAGAACUGGGACUCUGAUCUGGCAUUCUUCCCAACUGGGAUAUCUUAUUCACUUGGAAAUAAGGAUUCAUGAACAGAUGCCAUCAUCUUCAGGCAGACUUUUCCUAAUUUUUUGGUGCUAUAUAUAGCAAUUUGCACUCAAGGGUCUCAGUGUGUUCUUCAAAGAUUAAAGAAAGCACUCAUAAUUGUGUAUCCUCAGCACUGUUGAAAAUAGAAUUUAUAUGCUUUUAGUUUGGUUUGUUUAUUUAAUUUAGAUGCUCAGCUAUGGGCACUCAAAAUGGAAAAUGCUGCUCUGAAUUUCUGUCAUCUUCUACCUUUCCUAAAUGUUAGAAAAAAAGACGACCUUAUCAGAAAAGGAGUUUAAUCAAGCCAGAAGCAUUAAAACUUUUAGUAGGUGCUAUAUUAUAUAUGCAGUAAAAUAAAUGUGUUUUUCUGUAGUGUUUCAUGCAGAAAGGACUACAAAACAUUUUGAUAAGUGAGAACUAGGUAACUGCUAGAGCACCAGAGAAAGAUUUAGAAGCAAAAAUGGGAGAAAAUGUGACUUGCAGAAAGGAGCAAUGCAGCGAGAUGGGACAAAGAGAGUGGCCAACUGGCUUUCCAGCGGUGUUGAGUCACAUAGAAAGAAAGAGAACAGAAAGCAAGGGCUUGCAAAGUAGGCUGAGGACAGGGAGAUGAGGCAGUCUGGGCAGAGCUGCGUGGUCCAAGAAUGGCUGUGAAAUGGCCAACAACCUGGGGAAAGGCUUGGAGGAGAGGGGUGAGCUGGGCCUGCUGCCUGGGUGAGAGCAAUGUGACCUCUGUAGCUAUGUUACCACUGUUAUUUCUGUGCACUUUGAAAAAAUCUCAUUCAGCAGUUGGUAGGCACAAUAUGGGGACUGGAUGACUGAGGAAAUGCUGCAGUGAGACACAAAAAAAUCUCAAAACCUAAUGAUCAUCAAAAGCACAACAAAAUCCACAGGAACAGCAAACUUGGCAAGCUAUUUAACAAAAUCAGCCAAGAUCAUUAUUUUUGAGAGGAAAAAAUUUGAUUAGGUCUCUCUUGAUUGCUGGGAACAUGAUUUGAGUACACUUUGGAAAAUGCUGAGCUGUACUAUUCAUGUGUUUCUGCUUAUGGAACUGAAAUCAAUAACUUUAUUUUAGCUGUGAACACGUUCUUAUUUUGCUUUACUGAAUAGCAAUAAUGUUGUAACUCUUUCAAUGGCACCCUGAUGGAAAAAAAAACAAAACAAAGAAGCAUAUCAGAAAUUGUUAUCAAUGAUACAUAGGGUAAUUUUUGUGCUUUUAAUGACUAUCAUCCAUGUUUAUUGGGGUAUUACUGAGCUUAGAAUGUGUAGUUAUCCUCUUUUUAUGUAACUGCUGUCUUGUAUUCUAGACUAAAAGAUAUGCUCGGAUAGCAAAGGAAAAUAGCAAAAAUAGCUGGGUUUGAAGCUGUUUCUGUAACUGUCAUAUCUUUGUGCUACUGUAAAGAUCCAGAGUUCAUGGUGUUAAAUUUUUUGUUAAAAAAAAUCUAUUAAAUGAACAUUAGUGAGAAAUGCAGUAGUUACCAGAAUGUUUACCUGCUAUUAAUGUACUUUUCAUAUGAGAAAGCAGGAGAAAAAAAGAUUUGGAGAAAGUUACUAAAUUCAAACAGAAGACGUGCUUACGCACACCAACAAACUGUGUUUCCUUUUUUAGCAGUGGAUUCAGGCAGAGGAUCUGCUGCUGCUUCUUUUGCAUUCAGAAAGGCUCUGCUCAAGGGACACCCCCUUUAGAUAGAAACUGAUCUAAACAAAGCACUUACCACUUGUGGAAAUUUAGCUACAAGAAUAGUCCCAGGGAUUUCAAGUUGAAGAUUGUACACUUAGUGCCUAAGCACUUUGCUGCAUUCUCCAACUUGACUUUUGAUGAGACAAGUUCUAAAUCGGUGUAUUGCUGCAACCAUAGUGUCCCCAGCAAAUACCAUGAGUUGUAAGCCUUUAGAAAAGGGUAAGGACACUUGUUUGUGAGUCUAUAUGAGUCUAUGAUUCAAACAAGCUGUGUAAGAUGGUAAAGUGAAAUCACUUAAUUUGUUGAGGAAUUAGGUGAGGAUAGGUAUUGGAACUCGGUUCUCCCACUUCAUUUGCAAAACAGUAUCUGAAAACUGUAUUGUGAACACCAGGAGAGUUGUCUAAGUUCCUGUGUUCAUACACCUGCCUGAAAAAAAAAAAAAAAAAUGAAGAGAAGGCCUACUAAAUAUCAGAGCUUUUAGGACUGCAAAUUAAAAGAAUGAAUGUGUGUUUAUCGGAUACAUAAUGGCGGGAAACACGAAUGAGCCCUGCAGCAUCUUGGGGAAAGCCUGCAGUUUCUAGCAGUCUCUGCUGUGUUAAGCACGAAUGUGAUUUUCUGUGACCUGUACACAUUUACUCUUGUUCUACUUUUCGGCUUGCUUUCUGCCCCUACUUCUCCUGCUGUUUGAAACAAACUCAAAUACUACGGAAAGUUUGAGAAAAAUUCUCUGUCUUGUGACCUUUUCAUCUCCAUGGACUUCCUUAACCUAUCUCAGUAGCAGCUUGUUCCAGACUUAAAAAAUACCAGAGCUGUAUUAUAGCUACUUCAGUGCCACAGCUCCUGCUUUUCAUCUCUUCCUCUACAAUUCCAGAACGCCGCAGGGAGAGGCACAAAACUGUGCAAUGAUUCUGCAUGGCUCUGGAUCACCUCUGACAGAUGUGCAGAAAGCAUAGCGGACAGAGUCAUACUCAUUACAUGGUUGUCUCUCUCCUGAAGAGUCUGAAAGCCAGUUUAGCAAGAUUUUUCUAUCAGUCCUUGUAGACGUAAUUGGAACUAAUGAUCCCCCCCCGCCCCUUCCAGGUACUGUUCAAGCGAUUUCCUAAUGGGCUGCCUCCUCCUUCAGCAAAGAGAACAAGUCCAGAAGAACACUCAGCUACUUGCAACAGCUGUGAAUGGUCUUUUGGUCUCUUCAGCACACAAGUAGCAGUACCAAAUUUUGAGGUGUGCCACAGACAGAGCCCUUUGGACCUGCAUACUAGAUAUUAGAGCUGCAGCAGUUUCCUAUGAAUGCAUCUGUGCUGGUUUUUACUUUUAUUCCAUAUGUAGCUCCUGCAUUGCCUAUUUUUUGGCACAAAUGUGUUGAAGCUGUUCACUGAUUAACUAUGGUUAUUAUUUCAUUUCGAUAAUGGUCUAUAAUACAACUCCUUCACCCAGUGUUCAGGAGUGUUGCCAAAGACUAAGUCAGCAGAGUGCCUGAUCUGUGUGCCCAGAGCAACUGCAUUCAAUUGCUUACAAGUGGGUGGCAGGUGUAAGUACGUACCUGACCCUGACAGAAUGGAGCUCACAGCUGUUCUGCUGUUUGAUUUCACAAAAUGUUGACUCAGAUUUUUAACAAUUAACCCAACACAAAUGCUUACUGAGACAAACAAUCUUUUUAUUAGAAAUGUGUUGUCACUACUGAGAGGUGUUUCUAAAUGCUGCACAGUAAAAGGACUGCACUAGGUUUGUCCUGCGCUCUGAUUUUCAGCAUUGGAGGGGAAGUGAAGGGAGUCGAAGAACCUCUUCCUGGCGGUUGAGCUCUGACAGGGAAGUGGGGCUUGGAUGGUCAAGUGCUGAAUGAAAAAAGUAAAUGAGAACUGAUCACUAACAGCUCUGUUUCUUAGCUCCUGUAUUGCUAACGUGAGGCUAAUAAUACUGUUUUCCCAUAGGUCAUACCACACAGAAUGGUUCACUUGAAGAGUGGCUACACCAGGUCGUAUGAAGAAUUCAUCCAGCCCAAACUCCUGUCUCCAAGAGUGGCCGCAAGCAGGUGCCAUGGGAAGAAUUAGAACAGGGCGAGUGUAGAUCUACACCAUGCUCCCCCCAGCCUCUGACCAUUUAUUAGCUCAGGGGAUUUCCAGAGCUUGUUGUGGUUUCUCUAUUUAGUAACCUAUGAUAGACCUCUAUGCAAGUGCUUGCUCUGUCUCCUCUGGGUGUAAGCUUCAUUCAGUCACGGUGGCCUCUGGCAAGAAGCUCCACACGUCUGCUACAUACGGGAUGAAGAACCACAUUAUUUUGUUUGUUUUGAGUUUUAUUUAAUCUCUCCUAGUUUGUGUACUGGAGAGACAGAAUGCAGCUAAUCCCUUCUCCACCUUCUCCAUCAGAGAAGUGUGUGCUCAGUUAAGUACUUGCAUAACAAAAUAUUAAGUGCUUGAUGAAGCCAGUGGGAAUAAAAAGACCUCUUAGCACAUGCCCAAAAAUAAGCUCAUCUACAAAUGCUUUGCUGAACAUGAGGGCUCCGAGAGCAGUGCUACAUUUACCUUCUAUUUUAAAGUGGAAAUCAUUGUUCUGAGCCUUUAUUUAAGUGUAGAUAUUUAAAAGGUUACUUCUAAACCUCUGCUUUCCUUAAGAGAAACUUUCCCCCUUCAUCCUUCUUUAUUAUGUGAUACCUGGAAAAACCUCCUGGCAUAUUACAGUAUCAAAUAUAGUGUGUGUGCGAUUCCAACAAACAAUUCAUUCUUCUAAGUCUUGCUUAUCUCUGAUUUCCACUCAUUCACAGCCCCUGGUCAGAGGCCAACAGCACAAAGAUGGAAGUUAACACCUCCGCUCAGCUGACAGUCCCAUAGAGGUUUGAAGAUGCAAAAAUCCUGCUGGUAGUGAAUGGUGCGUGUGAGUGAUUAAACAACCAAGUGAAAGCAGUCAUAGCAUUAGUGUUGUGCAGCUCCUAUGAUGUAAUUGUAGUGGAUCGUUAUAUAUAUAUCUAUCAAUCCUGAUAAGUAAAUGUAUAUUUAAAACACUCAAAGGUAAUGGAAUGUAACUUUAAAGAAUGAGUGUCCUCUUGUACGUGUCCUAAUAUGUGUCUGAUUAAAGCCUCCUAAAUUCCUUGUCCCAGUC